Schistosoma curassoni is the source of this 48-nucleotide non-coding RNA. Lineage: Eukaryota; Metazoa; Platyhelminthes; Trematoda; Strigeidida; Schistosomatidae. The record is from Rfam.
GUCCAGCUGACGAGUACCAAACAGGACGAAACGCGCGUCAAACUGGGU